This is a long non-coding RNA of Mesocricetus auratus (golden hamster), 696 nucleotides long. RefSeq lists it as uncharacterized. NCBI's taxonomy places the organism in Eukaryota, Metazoa, Chordata, Mammalia, Rodentia, Cricetidae. The transcript has 2 exons. The record is from RefSeq and is a predicted model, not a curated record.
GCCUGCACGCCAUCAUGCUCCCUGCCAUGACGGUAAUGGACUGAACCUCUGAAACCCCUAUGAAUUCUGGACGCCCAGUUUCUUGAAAAACUCUUGGCAGAAGGAUCUUGUCUCAGGCGGCCCCCAGAGAUGAUCCUGUCCUGGUUCUGAGCUGGAGACCAAGUGAGCCAGGAGGCCGCCACAGACCCUACUUCGUGUUUAAAUCAUUCGUUCCCUCUACUGGUCUCGUAUCCACUUAGUGCAUCAUUAUUAGCAUCUACUUUUGCCAGCCUCGGGAUUGGCUCUGGUGACCAAGUCGCUUUGGUUUUCUUCAUGGUGAGUUAAUUUGCAGUAAGAGGACAGAGAGGCUGAGGUCUGGGCCACACUGAGUGUUCAGCAGCAGUGAAUGCCGUGACGGAGUCAAUGCAACCCAUCCACCCCUCCCCCCCAGGAUCUUGUUCACUAGGACCUCGGUGAUGAUGCUGGGAGGAGCUGGAAUCUUCAGGGGGCGUGGUCAAGUGGAUUGCAUUACUGACUCCUUCCCUCACUCUGGCUUCUUGUCUUAACCACGUGACUCUGCUAUGCAUGUGUUCCUACAGCUAUGAUGCUUGCUUGGCCAGGAAGGCCCUCACGGGAGGCUGAACUCACGAAGCUGCCCAAUUUUGGAUUUUCCACCUCCAAACUUGGAACUCAAUAAAGUCUCUUUAUAAAUGCCUA